Molecule: ribosomal RNA, 253 nt
Filed under: uncultured bacterium
Lineage: Bacteria
Description: partial 16S ribosomal RNA
Rfam family: Bacterial small subunit ribosomal RNA
Source: RNAcentral
UACAGAGGUCCCGAGCGUUGUUCGGAUUCACUGGGCGUAAAGGGUGCGUAGGCGGUCGGAUAAGUCUGAUGUGAAAUCUUCGAGCUCAACUCGGAAACUGCAUCGGAAACUAUUCGGCUAGAGGAUUGGAGGGGAGACUGGAAUUCUCGGUGUAGCAGUGAAAUGCGUAGAUAUCGAGAGGAACACCAGUGGCGAAGGCGAGUCUCUGGACAAUUCCUGACGCUGAGGCACGAAAGCUAGGGGAGCAAACAGG